AGUGAGGAAUAUUGGUCAAUGGGCGCAAGCCUGAACCAGCCAUCCCGCGUGCAGGAAGACGGCCCUAUGGGUUGUAAACUGCUUUUCCAGGGAGAGAAACUUACGCACGUGUUGCGUGACUGACGGUACCCUGGGAAUAAGCAUCGGCUAACUCCGUGCCAGCAGCCGCGGUAAUACGGAGGAUGCAAGCGUUAUCCGGAUUCAUUGGGUUUAAAGGGUGCGUAGGCGGGCUAUUAAGUCAGUGGUGAAAUCCUGCAGCUUAACUGCAGAACUGCCGUUGAUACUGAUAGUCUUGAGUUUGGUUAAGGUAGGCGGAAUGUGUAAUGUAGCGGUGAAAUGCUUAGAUAUUACACAGAACACCAAUUGCGUAGGCAGCUUACUGAGCCGACACUGACGCUGAGGCACGAAAGCGUGGGGAUCAAACAGGAUUAGAUACCCUGGUAGUCCACGCCGUAAACGAUGAUUACUCGCUGUUGGCGAUACACUGUCAGCGGCUAAGCAAAAGCAAUAAGUAAUCCACCUGGGGAGUACGGCCGCAAGGUUGAAACUCAAAGGAAUUGACGGGGGCCCGCACAAGCGGAGGAACAUGUGGUUUAAUUCGAUGAUACGCGAGGAACCUUACCUGGGCUUAAAUGUAGAGUGCAUUUUCUAGAGAUAGAAAUUCCCUUCGGGGCUUUCUGCAAGGUGCUGCAUGGUUGUCGUCAGCUCGUGCCGUGAGGUGUCGGGUUAAGUCCCAUAACGAGCGCAACCCUUAUCGUUAGUUGCCAGCUGGUAAAGCAGGGGACUCUAGCGAAACUGCCACCGUAAGGUGAGAGGAAGGUGGGGAUGACGUCAAAUCAGCACGGCCCUUAUGUCCAGGGCUACACACGUGUUACAAUGGCCGGUACAGAGGGCUGCUACCUGGUGACAGGAUGCUAAUCUCGAAAACCGGUCUCAGUUCGGAUCGAAGUCUGCAACUCGACUUCGUGAAGCCGGAUUCGCUAGUAAUCGCGCAUCAGCAACGGCGCGGUGAAUACGUUCCCGGGCCUUGUACACACCGCCCGUCAAGCCAUGGAAGCUGGGGGUGCCUGAAGUCCGUAACCGCAAGGAGCGGCCUAGGGUAAAACUAGUGACUGGGGCU
RNAcentral lists this ribosomal RNA (1120 nucleotides) under uncultured bacterium. RNAcentral describes it as "bacterial SSU rRNA". It matches the Rfam family "Bacterial small subunit ribosomal RNA", at positions 353 to 1482 of the family's 1533-position model. The record is from RNAcentral.